CCCCUAAGAUAGAAAUCAGGUAACCUAGAAGACAGCAAAAUAUCAAAAAUUGCGUUGAACAAUCUUCAGACGCCAAGAAUAGAAAGAAUCACAAAAAUCGUAUCUUCCACAAUCAAUUAUGGUUCUGUCAAGCCGAUUUCUGCAGAUUUCACGCUUCUUAAUUGUUGAGGGUUUAGGGGUUCAUUUUAGAGUUGAAUUUGUCUUUCGUCUUCUUCAAUUGCAGCCGAUGGAAUUUGCCGUCGUUUGAGGAUUCUCACCUUUCUUCUUAAUCAAUUGCAGUGCCUGUGUUCCAAGUUCUUUAUGGCUAGGAAGGGGUAUCGCUCCCUCGAAUAUAGGUCGGACUUGUUGAAGUUUCAUCGCAUAAUGGAACGAAUUAGAGAGAAUGUGAGGGAGCCACUGUGUACAGUACCUGCAUACAGUACCUGCGCCAUAGGUACACUAUUAGAGGUUACCUAUGCCAUAGGUACUGUUAGAGGUUACCUGUAGCUUUGGAGUUAUGCUGUUAGAGAUGCAAUUAGCAAAGCUAAAACCAUGGAAACAUGACUUCUAUGUACUAUCCAUAGCUGUUGGAACAUGACUUCUAUGCACUAAAGCUAAAACCAUGAAAACAUGACUUCUAUGCACUAUAAGUCAUUUCAUAUGACUUGUGUAAUGAGAAGUUUGCUAUUUGUAUUGUAUAUUAAUCUUAACUAAAAACCCAGCUGGAACAGCAGAAGUCCCCUCCUAGCUAUGUCAUUUGGUGCUACAGUGUUGGAUGCAUUGUAUCUUAUAGGUUAUUUAUCAAAUUCAUACAACUUUCUAAAUGUAGAAGCUUUUCUGAUCUUUGUACACUUGGGUCCUGCAAUGCAUAUACAACACUUUAUGUGGUGUUCCACCUCAGAUCGUGAAGGGAAUGCCUAAAAAGGAUCUCACUGAGGAGGCGAUCGUGAUUGCGUGAAUUCAUUUGCUGUUUUUGGCUAGAGUUAUGAUUUGUACCAGCCCAAAUUUUGUGUGUGUAAAUGUCAUGAUCUAUACAUAUGUAUUGCAUUUAAUUUUUCUUCUCUCCCUCCUUCAUAUUAAUAACUUAAGAUUACACUUGUGAGUUUUACAGUCA
Prunus persica (peach) is the source of this 1093-nucleotide long non-coding RNA. RefSeq lists it as uncharacterized. Lineage: Eukaryota; Viridiplantae; Streptophyta; Magnoliopsida; Rosales; Rosaceae. The record is from RefSeq and is a predicted model, not a curated record. The transcript has 2 exons.